Molecule: long non-coding RNA, 3091 nt
Organism: Triticum aestivum (bread wheat)
Lineage: Eukaryota; Viridiplantae; Streptophyta; Magnoliopsida; Poales; Poaceae
Exons: 7
Source: RefSeq, a predicted model, not a curated record
UUUGUGUUGUUUACUGCCCUCAUUCUUUCCACUCUGAAUUAUGCGUGUUUUGUUUCCUCUGUUUUCUUGAUGGGGAGCAUGUUCUCCAAUAGUAUAAUUUCCGCCCCCCUGGUUUGAACAGUUCAUGGGAAGGCAUUUUGUUACUGCAUGUUUGUGUCCUGCAAUGCACGUUGAAGUUAGUUUCAGUUCAUUGUCAGUUUACCAUAUAUACAUGGAAAACGAUUUCAUCCUGCUGGAACCAUGUUUUUUCUAGCAGCCCAUUUCAUUGGUUGAAGUUAUGGUUACUUGAGCCAUACCACUUGAUUUUCGAGGACAUGUAAUUUUUGGUCUAUCAUUAUAGAUCAUAUUACACCUUUUGCUGAUAGUCAUGGUAUUUGGUUACAGCAAGAAUAUUGGAGUUUCUCAACAUUAGAGUGCAAUCUAGAAGGCUUCAUAUCGUAUCAUAGAACAUAUUUGGAUCAGCAACUCCCUACAUAAAUCAUGCCCUGUUAAAUUACGCAUAUGUUAUCAAAUUCAUUUGAAUUUGCUUCAUUUUAGAGGCUAAUACUUUCAUGGAAAAAAUCAAGUUGAUAAUUGCUUUCCUGUUGACAAACUCUUUACUGUACAUGAGCUGAACAUUUUGUUGAGCUCUCUUUUUUCUCCCUGAAUGCGGAAAAUUGCAGCCUUUGUUUCCUCGAGAAAGUGGCGUUGAUUAAUUGGUUGAAAUUAUAAAGGUUUUUAUCUCCUGUAGAACCAUUUAAGUCCAGUAAUUUAGAUCUUUAGACUGAAGUUAUCAUUCCGUUUCCCUAUUCUAGAUUUUGGAUACCUCAGCAAGAGAAGAAAUCGGAUGCAUGUACCCAAACUAUGAAUUCAAAUUCUAUCAGAUAAAAGGUUAAAAGCUCAUCCCUGCCACAAGCUUUUGGUAAGCGCAUGCCACCUGAAGCAGUUGAUCUUGCGUAAAGGCUACUUUGGUACUCACCAAAUCAGCGCUGAACAGCCGCUUGAUGCUUGCGCCCAUCCGUUCUUUGAUGAACUGCAGGAUCCCAAGACCUGCUUGCCAAAUGAACGGCAAUUACCACCAUGGUGUGCCGCAGUGUUGAGUUUUUCUACAUCCUUACCUUACACAAGCAUUUGCAUGGUGUGCAUAGCUGGAAGGCCUCCCUGCUCAGGUACGGAUCAUUCCUGAACAUACGACGAAGUGAACACAGCGCUAUUUCUUGGCGCCCAUUCAUCCAGAGUAGACUGUCUGGCCAGCCCACAGCCCCUGUUUUAAGUGUAUGUGUUUAUGCAGUUUGAUGAAAGAAUAGCAUGUUGCUCGUUUCCAGCUUACGUUUUCAAAAUUUUCUCAGCGAUGUAUGAAACGAUGACAUAGCGCUUACAUGUACAUCAAUGGCAGCAGGGUGUUGAGAACAAGUAUGGAUGCACACUUGUCGAUAUCCGUAUUGCCAGAUUGGCCUAGUGUACAUGGAAGUGCAAACAUAAUUCUCCUGAACACUAGAAUAACGGUGUUGCUAAGUGUAGCACUAUACCUGUGUAAGGGCCUGGAUUUCCUGUCUCAACCAAGUUUCGAACCACACUUGAAACUUCCAUUGCUUCCAGUAUCGUCUGAAACCUCUGCAGCAAACACGAGUUUCAGAUAAAACUGUGAACAGAGAAGUAAAUAAAACUCCAAAUUAACACAAUGCCUCUUGUGUUAUAUAUAGAAGUGUGAUAUCAACUCAUGUGCCGCAUCAAGGUGAGUGCCAGAAAAGAAGAAAUGAAAAACUGCUACUCGGUUUAUUAAGGGAGUGUUUGGUUUGAGAAUUAACUGUAAUGGAAUGGCAUGGUUCAAUCCCAGAGGAAUGGGUCGGUUUAGUUCUUGUAUUUGGUUGGACAGAUGGGAUGUGUCAAAUUUGGUUCAGCACACCAAUUGCAUAGAGAUGGUCAGAUUACUGUGAAGAUGUUGUAAUCCAAAGAAAUAUAGCACAACUUUCAAUCAUCAAUCUCAAUAUUUCAUAUGGUAGCAAUAACCAGUCCUCUGCCUCGCUCGCGUCGUCGCCGCCUUUCCAUUGGCUCCGUCGCCGUCGCCGUCGCCAAGAUCUCAUUUUUAUUCUCCGGCGGCUGAUCCGGAGCGCGGCGGCUCGAUCUGCAACCGCCUUCCUCCAUUCCAACGCCAACAGCUGCGGUGCAGAUCUCCGAGCUUUACCAACGCCUCCCCGAGCUCGCCCCCAACGUGCGGCAUCCGACCAUGUAGCUUCGUCGCCGACAAGCUGGAGCAGAGGAGGGCUGAACCAAGCUGGAGCAAGUUGCAGCGUGCUUCCCCGACGACGAUGGCCUGUCACUGACGGCAAGUGCAAUAAGAAGGCCCCGAGGAUUAUUUUCACAAAGCAGAGAGGGAGAAGCAUAAGCGCGACCUGCUCAAUGAUCUCUUCAGUGAACUUGACGAAAUGCUAGGCAAGAGGAACAACAGAGGAUAAAGCUAAAGAACCAAGUACUCCAAUCAGUAGACCACUCCAAUCAGCAGAUCACUCCAAGCUGGAGUACCAAGUAUCUGUUUCUCCAAUCACUCCAAACCAAGGUCUCCAGCCAGGCGAAAGGGAUACUACCCGCGGCAAGUGACGAGCACCAUGUGCCGAGAGGAGCGGCGGCGGACUUCGGGCUCAAGGCGAACAACAGAGGAUCAGAGCCAAAAUCAAGCAGCGGAGCAGCACAGGAUCAGAGUUGUGGAUCAAUUCGAGAGGAGCGGAGGAUCAGCAGAGGAUCGGAGGUGUGGAUCAAUUCAAGAAGGACGCCAGAGCUGUGGCGGAUGGCGUAGCAGCAGCUGACCUCGGGCUCUCAAUUGGAGCGGAUGCAGGUUGGCGACGGUGCUGGGGCGGCGAGGGUGGUGCAGUCGGCGGGAUCCCCAGCGACAAGAAUUUCAAAUUGGGGGUAGUUUGGUACUUUUCCCCGUUUUCACAUGGUCGGAGAAAUUCCCUAACGACAAAUAAUACGGAACAGAGGGAGUAGAUUGCAUGUACAAAAAUUAUUCUCUUGUAUCAACGUACAUACAAAUAGUACUCAACUUCACGUACUGAACCUUUGGAGGUUGCAAUAACCAAUACUAUUAGAUCACGUACAAAAGCAUCUCAUGUUU